RNAcentral lists this ribosomal RNA (235 nucleotides) under uncultured bacterium. RNAcentral's name for it is "partial 16S ribosomal RNA". It matches the Rfam family "Bacterial small subunit ribosomal RNA", at positions 99 to 334 of the family's 1533-position model. The record is from RNAcentral.
CGGACGGGUGAGUAAUGUAUGGGGAUCUGCCUGAGUGCGGGGGAUAACUACUGGAAACGGUAGCUAAUACCGCAUAAUGUCUACGGACCGAAAGCGGGGGGACCCUCCGGGCCUCGCGCCAUCAGAUGAACCCAUAUGGGAUUAGCUAGUAGGUAAGGUAACGGCUUACCUAGGCGACGAUCCCUAGCUGGUCUGAGAGGAUGAUCAGCCACACUGGGACUGAGACACGGCCCAG